GACGAACGCUGGCGGCGUGCUUAACACAUGCAAGUCGAACGGAAAGGCCCUGCUUGCAGUGUACUCGAGUGGCGAACGGGUGAGUAACACGUGGGUGAUCUGCCCUGCACUUCGGGAUAAGCCUGGGAAACUGGGUCUAAUACCGGAUAGGAGCCAUUUUUAGUGUGAUGGUUGGAAAGUUUUUUCGGUGUAGGAUGAGCUCGCGGCCUAUCAGCUUGUUGGUGGAGGAAUGGCCUACCAAGGCGGCUACGGGUAGCCGGCCUGAGAGGGUGGACGGCCACACUGGGACUGAGAUACGGCCCAGACUCCGACGGGAGGCAGCAGUGGGGAAUAUUGCACAAUGGGCGCAAGCCUGAUGCAGCGACGCCGCGUGGGGGAUGACGGCCUUAGGGUUGUAAACUCCUUUCGCUAGGGACGAAGCUUUUUGUGACGGUACCUAGAUAAGAAGCACCGGCUAACUACGUG
Molecule: ribosomal RNA, 465 nt
Filed under: uncultured bacterium
Lineage: Bacteria
Description: partial 16S ribosomal RNA
Rfam family: Bacterial small subunit ribosomal RNA
Source: RNAcentral